GCCGGGAUAGCUCAGCUGGGAGAGCAACAGACUGAAGUCAAGCCGAAUUCUGGAGGUCCCGUGUUCAAUCCACGGUCCUGGCA
Molecule: non-coding RNA, 83 nt
Organism: Pisolithus thermaeus
Lineage: Eukaryota; Fungi; Basidiomycota; Agaricomycetes; Boletales; Pisolithaceae
Source: the annotation of a GenBank genome assembly